RNAcentral lists this ribosomal RNA (643 nucleotides) under uncultured bacterium. RNAcentral's name for it is "bacterial SSU rRNA". It matches the Rfam family "Bacterial small subunit ribosomal RNA", at positions 232 to 885 of the family's 1533-position model. The record is from RNAcentral.
CGCGGCCUAUCAGCUUGUUGGUGAGGUAAUGGCUCACCAAGGCUUCGACGGGUAGCCGGCCUGAGAGGGCGACCGGCCACACUGGGACUGAGAUACGGCCCAGACUCCUACGGGAGGCAGCAGUGGGGAAUAUUGCACAAUGGGCGCAAGCCUGAUGCAGCAACGCCGCGUGCGGGAUGACGGCCUUCGGGUUGUAAACCGCUUUCAGUAGGGACGAAGCUAACGUGACGGUACCUACAGAAGAAGGACCGGCUAACUACGUGCCAGCAGCCACGGUGAUACGUAGGGUCCGAGCGUUGUCCGGAAUUAUUGGGCGUAAAGGGCUUGUAGGCGGUCCGUCGCGUCAGGAGUGAAAACUCGGGGCUUAACCCCGAGCCUGCUUUUGAUACGGGCGGACUAGAGGGAUGCAGGGGAGAACGGAAUUCCUGGUGGAGCGGUGGAAUGCGCAGAUAUCAGGAGGAACACCGGUGGCGAAGGCGGUUCUCUGGGCAUCACCUGGCGCUGAGAAGCGAAAGCGUGGGGAGCAAACGGGCUUAGAUACCCUGGUAGUCCACGCCGUAAACGGUGGGCACUAGGUGUGGGGGACAUUCCACGUUCUCCGUGCCGAAGCUAACGCAUUAAGUGCCCCGCCUGGGGAGUACGG